This 468-nucleotide ribosomal RNA is filed under the name uncultured bacterium. Its description in RNAcentral is "partial 16S ribosomal RNA". It matches the Rfam family "Bacterial small subunit ribosomal RNA", at positions 28 to 507 of the family's 1533-position model. The record is from RNAcentral.
GACGAACGCUGGCGGCGUGCUUAACACAUGCAAGUCGAACGGAAAGGCCCUGCUUUUGUGGGGUGCUCGAGUGGCGAACGGGUGAGUAACACGUGAGUAACCUGCCCUUGACUUUGGGAUAACUUCAGGAAACUGGGGCUAAUACCGGAUAGGAGCUCCUGCUGCAUGGUGGGGGUUGGAAAGUUUCGGCGGUUGGGGAUGGACUCGCGGCUUAUCAGCUUGUUGGUGGGGUAGUGGCUUACCAAGGCUUUGACGGGUAGCCGGCCUGAGAGGGUGACCGGCCACAUUGGGACUGAGAUACGGCCCAGACUCCUACGGGAGGCAGCAGGGGGGAAUAAUGCACAAUGGGCGGAAGCCUGAAGCAGCAACGCCGCGUGCGGGAUGACGGCCUUCGGGUUGUAAACCGCUUUCGCCUGUGACGAAGCGUGAGUGACGGUAAUGGGUAAAGAAGCACCGGCUAACUACGUG